RNAcentral lists this unclassified non-coding RNA (405 nucleotides) under soil metagenome. RNAcentral's name for it is "partial contains 5.8S ribosomal RNA, internal transcribed spacer 2, and large subunit ribosomal RNA". The stretch from base 1 to 121 matches the Rfam family "5.8S ribosomal RNA", at positions 35 to 154 of the family's 154-position model. The record is from RNAcentral.
GAUGAAGAACGUAGCGAAAUGCGAUAAGUAAUGUGAAUUGCAGAAUUCAGUGAAUCAUCGAAUCUUUGAACGCACCUUGCGCCCUUUGGCCAUUCCGAAGGGCAUGCCUGUUUGAGUAUCAUGAACACCUCAACUCUUUAUGGUUUUCCAUGAUGAGCUUGGACUCUGGGGGUUUUGCUGGCUCACAGUCGGCUCCUCUAAAAUGAAUCAGCUUACCAGUGUUUGGUGGGUAUCAUGGGUGUGAUAACUAUCUACGCUUGUGGUUUUUCCACCAGGUAACCUUCAGCAGUGGAGGUUCGCUGGAGCUCAUAGAUGUCUCUCCUCAGUGAGGACAGCCCUUUGAAUGUUUGAUCUCAAAUCAGGUAGGACUACCCGCUGAACUUAAGCAUAUCAAUAAGCGGAGUA